RNAcentral lists this long non-coding RNA (728 nucleotides) under Monodelphis domestica (gray short-tailed opossum). Its description in RNAcentral is "lncRNA (ENSMODG00000037512.1)". The record is from RNAcentral. Lineage: Eukaryota; Metazoa; Chordata; Mammalia; Didelphimorphia; Didelphidae.
CAGGUCUACCUGCCACAACAGGACCAGUACAGCCUAAUACAAAGCAUUCAUCAGGGAGAAAACUCAAGGAGGAAAUAGUGUCCCAAAAGCCAUAAUGACAUCAAACAAUAGCAGUGUUCUUACAGCAUCAUAAGUGUGAGUUGUUCCUCUAUGAAUAUUCCCAUGGAAUGGUCCCUCAGGAAUGAUAUCUAUGCAUGGUAUCUCUCUCCCCACUCAUGGACUACCCUAUUGUGUGGAAGUGGAGUAAGGGCUUGCUUAGCCCUUUUCAAGGAUACUUACCCACCACUGGUGUCUACUUGCCACCCUAAUCCUGCCUGUGGCUUCAAGAAGCUGUCGUAUGAAAAGCAGCCAGACUCCAGCAAAAAGGCUAAACCAGCUAAUCAACAGGGAUUUAAACCUGUCACUGAGUUUGGAUUAUGUCUAUCUCAAGUACAUAAAGAAUUCCUCCAUUGAAAGAGACAGAUGAGAACAAUUUGUUCCAACAGCCCUGAGGGCAGCUCAAGCAAGUGAUUGGUCAGACAUCAAAGAUGCCAAGGUCAUCCAUAGCAUCCCAAGACAUCAUCAGUCAUCUUGACUUUUUUUUUUUUGACUGUGGAAGAGAGAAUAAGGCUGGUGACUUUGUUCAAUUCUGCCUCACUUAAAUCUAAUUCAUGAAAAAGUCAAACCAUGAUGUCACUAGUCCUUUUUGAAAAUGAAAAAACAACAAAACAAUACAACAUUGAGACCAA